AGGUUAGUUAAAAGGCAGGUACGCUGAUGCCGUGUGUCGUCGGCAUGCCGAACAUGCGCAUGCACUGAUGUUGCGUGGCCGGCUUGAGCAGAUGUAGCUGUAACUGGACGAUGAAGACGUAGCUCGGCCGACUGGACGUGGCUGACGUUAGAAGCCCGGUGCAGGUUAUUGGCGACGUGGUUCGAUAGAAGCGACUCGCUAGAUGUGGCUGGGCGCGGUGUAGUAGCUCGACGGCCACACCUCUCUCUACGUUCAGAAGUAGCUGAAGAGGCCGCGCUGUGCCGUAGCUGUGUAGCAGCGGCACUCUCUGCGGAAGUUCGCUGUAGUAGAAGCUGUGCGACAACGUUGCGGUAUCGGCUGUGAAGUAGCGGUUCCAGAGGUAGUUGUACCAGAAGUGGUCGUAGUAGCAGUUGUGUGGCGGCGGCGGCGGAGCAGGUGUUCUACCUGUGGAUCACAGGAGACUGUCUGAAAAGACGUUCCGCGCUGGAGCU
RNAcentral lists this ribosomal RNA (491 nucleotides) under Triticum aestivum (bread wheat). RNAcentral's name for it is "partial small subunit ribosomal RNA". Lineage: Eukaryota; Viridiplantae; Streptophyta; Magnoliopsida; Poales; Poaceae. The record is from RNAcentral.